Molecule: long non-coding RNA, 1138 nt
Filed under: Androctonus crassicauda
Lineage: Eukaryota; Metazoa; Arthropoda; Arachnida; Scorpiones; Buthidae
Source: RNAcentral
CAAAAAGGAGAAUGUGAAAAGAGAAAUUUGCAACAUGUUUUCUUUGUUUUUUUGCAUAAUUCUGACAUUUAUAAGCAUUGAAGUAAAGGGUAUAAACAUUACAGAACUCACGUCUAUAGUUAGCUUUUGUUUUUUAGAUCGUAGAGAGAUAAAAAGUAUAGGUUUGGUUCUUUUGUGUUCGGUUAUAAAUCAACCCCGAAUCUUUUCAAAACUUUGUUCCUUGACGAUUCAGGAAGUAAAAAUGCUAUCCCCACUAAAUUCGACCACUUGACAGUCUUUACAAGAAGUGUUGCCAUUGGUCUAUAGUCAAUUGAUAUCGCUUGACAGCUUUCCCUUUUCUUUGGUCUAGCCAAGCGAAGGUAAUGGGCUACUGCUCUUAUUGAAUUGAUCACGUGGACGAGAUUAGCUAACAGGAUGAAAAAUCGUGUAGUGAAAAAGUUAAGAGAAGUCAAGACAUGUUGCACUUAAUACAACUAUAAAAGUCUUGUUUAAUAUUACAGAGAUAGUUUUGGAAAGAUUAACUCCAGAAAUUGAGCCCUAGAAAUGUGUAAGAAGUAAGUUUAUGGUAAGUGGAAAAAUGGCCAAACUUGUUGAUUUACUUUAACAAAUUCUCCACUGAUAGAAAAAUUAAAUUACAGGACUAAUUUCUAAUUUAACUUAAACAUAAAUAUUUAAUAGCAGAUAUUAAAAUGAAUUAUUAAUCAUCCAAAUUUUAGCGAAUUAUAUCUCCUAUAUGAUUAAAAUUGUUUAGAAAUUAAUGGCAAAAUAUAAGAACAAUACAUCCGCCAUUAAAAUUUCUUCAAAUAACCGCUUAAAACAGUAAAAACGUUUAAACUAAUGUAUAUAUAGAUCGAUGCUCAGAUCAAUUUUCGAAAGCACUUACCAUUAAAGAGAAAUGAGCGAAAAUUGAUUCGGGCUCUUAUGCUAGUAAUCCGUUCAGGCGAUUAGAUCCUAAACCUAAUCGGAUCUUGACUGUUCCAUAAACAUAUUAAAUAUUAAAUUUCAUGUCGUUUUGAAUAUAAGUUUUGAAUUACCUAUAAAUUCCUAUCACACAGACAUACAGACAUCGUUUUAGAACUUGACAAAACGUGUUCAGAAAUUUUAAAAAGUAAAUAUCCAACGAAAUUGGAAAUGCAAG